GGGGGAUGCGAGCGUUAUCCGGAUUCAUUGGGUUUAAAGGGUGCGUAGGCUGUGCGUCAAGUCGGGGGUGAAAUUCCGGUGCUCAACACCGGGGCUGCCCUUGAUACUGUCGCGCUGGAGUGCGGAUGCCGCCGGAGGAAUGAGUGGUGUAGCGGUGAAAUGCUUNGAUAUCACUCAGAACACCGAUUGCGAAGGCUUCUGGCGAAUCCGAAACUGACGCUGAGGCACGAAA
RNAcentral lists this ribosomal RNA (232 nucleotides) under uncultured bacterium. Its description in RNAcentral is "partial 16S ribosomal RNA". It matches the Rfam family "Bacterial small subunit ribosomal RNA", at positions 527 to 758 of the family's 1533-position model. The record is from RNAcentral.